Molecule: RNA transcript, 12491 nt
Organism: Lycium ferocissimum
Lineage: Eukaryota; Viridiplantae; Streptophyta; Magnoliopsida; Solanales; Solanaceae
Gene name: E3 ubiquitin-protein ligase UPL1-like
Exons: 17
Source: RefSeq, a predicted model, not a curated record
UAUACAGAUUGCAAGUGGCAACACUCCACAGCUUCUAUCUUUCUUUCUUUGUUUCUUCAAUCUCUCCUUAGUUACCAAUUAAACCCUUUUGAAAAAACCCUAGAUAUCCAAACCCGAUACGAUCUUCAUAAAAACCUCAAAUUCAAUUCAAUCUAAAAUCACUUUUUGAUUGUUCGUAACCCUCAAGUUAUCGAAUUUAUUAUUGGAUCGAUUAAUUAAUCGGUUAGUUUUAACUAAUGGUUUCAUCAGUUGGUUGAUUUCAACAUGAAGUUAAAGCGAAGGAGGGCCGUUGAAGUGCCUCCAAAGAUCCGAUCAUUUAUCAGUAGCGUCACUGCUACUCCAUUAGAGAACAUAGAAGAACCCUUGAAAAGUUUUGUUUGGGAGUUUGAUAAGGGAGAUUUUUAUCAUUGGGUUGAUCUCUUUAAUCACUUUGAUACAUUUUUUGAGAAAUACAUUAAGACUAGGAAGGAUUUGCAAUUUGAUGACCACUUUUUGGAAUCUGAUCCUCAAUUCCCAAGGGAAGCUGUCCUCCAGGUCCUUCGUGUUAUAAGGAUAAUAUUGGAGAACUGCACAAAUAAGCAUUUCUACAGCUCAUAUGAGCAUCACUUGUCAGCGUUGCUUGCUUCCACUGAUGCGGAUGUGGUUGAGGCGUGUUUGCAAACUUUGGCUGCCUUUUUGAAGAAAACAAUAGGGAAAUAUGUCAUUAGAGAUGCUUCUCUUAAUUCAAAGCUGUUCGCUCUUGCACAGGGUUGGGGAGGAAAAGAAGAAGGCCUUGGGUUAAUUGCGUGUGCUCUGCAGGACAGCUCUGAUGCAAGUGCUAAUGAGUUAGGUUGCACCUUACAUUUUGAAUUCUAUGCAACUGAAUCUUCAGAUGAGCCCACUGCUCCCAUUGGUUUACAGAUCAUCCAUUUGCCUAACAUUGACAACAGAAAAGAGUCCGAUCUUGAACUUUUGAACACUUUAAUCUUACAAUACAAGGUUCCUCCUAGUUUGAGAUUUCCUCUUUUGACAAGAUUGCGGUAUGCUAGGGCAUUCAGUUCCCCAGCUUCUCGACAACAGUACACUUGCAUACGCCUCUAUGCAUUUAUAGCUCUUGUUCAAGCAUGCAGUGAUUCAGAUGAUUUGGUUUCGUUCUUCAACAGUGAACCAGAGUUCAUUAAUGAGUUGGUUACCUUAUUGAGCCAUGAAGACGCGGUUCCCGAGAAGAUUAGAAUUUUGGCUCUUGUUUCCUUGGUUGCUCUGUGUCAAGAUCGGUCACGCCAGCCAAGUGUUUUGACAGCUGUAACAUCUGGGGGGCAUCGUGGCAUUCUUUCCAGCCUUAUGCAAAAGGCCAUUGAUUCCAUUGUUAGUAACUCCUCAAAAUGGUCUGUCCUUUUCGCUGAGGCUUUGUUAUCUCUUGUUACCAUUUUGGUCUCAUCUUCAUCUGGUUGCUCAGCCAUGCGAGAAGCAGGGUUCAUCCCUACACUUCUACCGCUACUUAAAGAUACGGAUCCUCAACACUUGCAUUUAGUUAGCAUGGCUGUUCAUGUUCUAGAGGCAUUCAUGGAUUAUAGUAAUCCAGCUGCUGCGCUAUUCAGAGAUUUGGGAGGUUUGGAUGACACCAUAGCACGCCUUAAUGUAGAAGUUUCUCGUGUUGAAAAUGGUAUAAAGCUGCCAACUGCUAGUAGUGAUCUCGAAAGUUCUGACUUUAAUAGUUCGCAGAUUGUUGCUAGUACUUCUUCCGAGCUAGACAGUAUGCAGGCUCUUUAUUCUGAUGUGUUGGUUGCUUAUCAUCGGCGAUUACUGAUGAAAGCUUUACUACGUGCUAUAUCUCUGGGAACCUAUGCUCCUGGAACCACUUCUCGUAUUUAUGGUUCAGAGGAGAGCUUGUUGCCUCAAUGCUUGAGCAUAAUCUUCAGAAGAGCUAAGGAUUUUGGUGGAGGAGUGUUUCAUCUUGCUGCAACUGUGAUGAGUGAUCUUAUUCACAAAGAUCCCACCUGCUUCCCUGUAUUGGAAGCAGCUGGUCUUCCUUCUGCCUUCAUUGAUGCCAUUAUGGAUGGGGUUGUUGGCUCUGCAGAAGCUGUCAGUUGCAUACCUCAGUGUUUAGAUGCGUUGUGCUUGAAUAACAAUGGUCUUCAGGCUGUGAAAGAUCGCAAUGCUUUGAGGUGUUUUGUAAAAAUUUUCACUUCAAAAACAUAUGUCAGAGCCCUUAGUGGAGAUACCACUGGAUCUUUGUCUAGUGGCCUGGAUGAACUAAUGCGGCACACCGCAUCAUUGCGCGGACCUGGAGUGGAAACUAUGAUUGAGAUCUUGGAGGAGAUUGCAAAACUUGGAUCUGUUCCAGAAGCUAUUUCACCCUCAGCCGACAGUCCUAGUUCUUCUAACCCUGUUCCAAUGGAAACUGAAGGUGAGGAUAGGGGUGUGGUUUUGCCUGAGCAAGACUCACAAAAGGCUAAAGGUUUGGAGCAUGUCGAACCGUCUUCUGAUUCUUUGGUACCAAACAUCGAGUCUUUUCUUCCUGAAUGUAUAGGCAAUGCUGCUCGUCUGCUUGAAACAAUUCUUCAGAACUCUGAUACAUGCCGUAUUUUUGUUGAGAAGAAAGGAAUUGAAGCUGUUCUGCAGCUGUUCACUUUGCCUGCCUUGCCCCUAUCUGUUUCUGUGGGUCAGACCUUAUCUGUUGCAUUUAAGAAUUUCUCUCCACAGCAUGCUGCUUCUCUUGCUCGUGCAGUCUGUUCAUUUUUAAGAGAACAUUUGAAGUUAACGAAUGAACUUAUAGUUCAAAUUCGAGGAUCUCAGCUUGUAAAGGUGGAAUCUGCUAAGAGGAUAACUGUGUUGAAGAACCUUUCAAGUCUUGAAGGUAUUUUAUCUCUCUCCAAUUCUUUGUUGAAGGGAAGUACUACUGUGGUUUCUGAGUUAGGAACUGCGGAUGCUGAUGUCUUAAAGGAUCUUGGGAGAGCGUAUAAGGAAGUACUUUGGCAAAUCUCCUUGUGUUGUGAUUCUAAGGUGGAUGAGAAACAGAACGUGGAAGCAGAGCCUCAAAAUGUAGAAGCAGGUUCUUCCAAUAUAGGAGGUAGAGACAGUGAUGAGGAGACUAAUAUUCCUUCAGUUAGAUACAUGAAUCCUGUUUCUAUCAGGAAUAGUUCUCACUCUCAAUGGGGCGUAGAACGUGAGUUUCUUUCUGUAAUUCGUUCAAGUGAAGGUUUUAAUCGUCGUAGUAGACAUGGUUUAGCACGAAUUCGUGGUGGAAGGACCAGUAGGCAUUUGGAAAGUUUACAAGUUGAUUCUGAAGUUGCUCCCAGUGUUGUGGAGAGUACAAUCCAGGAGGUGAAGAAAAAAACUCCCAGUGUUCUGGUUUUAGAAAAUCUAAACAAGCUUGCUUCUAGCAUGCGUUCUUUCUUUAUGGCUCUUGUUAAAGGAUUUACAUCUCCAAAUCGUCGGAGAACUGAAACAGGAUCUCUAAGUUCAGCUUCAAAGAGCAUAGGAACUGCCUUGGCCAAAGUUUUUCUCGAGGCUCUUGGUUUCUCAGGAUAUCCAGAUGCUGCUGCGCUUGAUAUACCACCUUCUGUCAAGUGUCGAUAUCUUGGUAAGGUUGUGGAUGAUAUGCUGACCCUAACAUUUGAUGCCAGGCGGCGUACCUGUUAUGCGUCCAUGAUUAACAAUUUCUAUGCCCAAGGAACCUUUAAGGAGCUUCUAACAACAUUUGAAGCAACCAGUCAGUUGUUGUGGACACUUCCCUAUUCUGUACUGACAUCUGGAAUGGUUCCUGAAAAUAGUGGUGAGGAAAACAAGUUAUCUCACAGUUCGUGGCUUCUUAGUACUCUGCAGAGCUAUUGCCGUUUGCUUGAAUAUUUUGUCAAUUCAGCUUUGUUGUUGUCUCCAACCUCAACAUCCCAAGCGCAGCUCCUUGUGCAGCCAGUUGCUGUCGGUUUGUCUAUUGGGUUGUUUCCUGUUCCAAGAGACCCAGAAGUGUUUGUCCGUAUGCUGCAGUCUCAGGUUCUAGAUGUUGUACUUCCCAUUUGGAACCAUCAGAUGUUCCCCAGUUGUAAUCCCGGGUUUAUUAAUUCUAUCAUUAUGCUUAUAACUUACAUCUACUGUGGUGUUGGGGAUGUGAAACGAAAUCGCAGUGGGUCAUCAAGUUCUGCAAACCCACGUGCAGUGGCUCCUCCACCUGAUGAGGCUACUAUUUCUACCAUUGUUGAUAUGGGCUUUUCAAGAGCAAGAGCUGAGGAGGCAUUAAGACGAGUUGAAACGAAUAGUGUGGAGAUGGCUAUGGAGUGGUUGUUUAGUCAUGCUGAAGAUCCUGCUCAAGAAGAAGAUGAGUUGGCUCGUGCACUAGCUUUGUCACUUGGGAAUUCAUCAGACUCUUCUAAAGCCGACAACGUUGAUAGAUCGGUAGAGGUUCUAUCUGAAGAACAACAAACUAAGCCACCACCUGUUGAAGAUGUCCUUGCUGCAACAAUUAAGCUGUUUCAGAGCACAGACUCAAUUGCUUUUCCGUUAAUGGAUUUACUUGUGACUCUUUGCAGUCGGAACAAAGGAGAAGAUCGUGCAAAAGUGAUUUCAUAUCUGAUUCACCAGUUGAAAGAUUGCCAGCUGGAAUUUUCCAGGGACUCUGGUGCCUUAUGUAUGAUAACACAUACUUUGGCAUUGCUUCUAUCUGAAGAUGAAAAUAUACGGGAAAUUGCAGCAAAGAAUGAAAUUGUCUCUGUAGUACUUGAAAUAUUGAUGAAGUUCAAGGCUGGAGCUGAAAAUGAGAUUAGGGUUCCUAGAUGCAUCAGUGCACUGCUGCUAAUCUUAUUUAAUCUGUUGCAAACCAGGCCUAAAAUCUCUGGUGAUGAAACUGAAAGAGUCAUAGCUGCAUCUUUACCAGAAUCUUUAGAAGAGCAUCUCCCAUCCCAAGAUGCUGAAGCAGUUAUUGAGAAGAAGUCAACUCUAGUCUCCCAGGAUGACGAAUCGUCCACUGGUUUUGAGAAAAUAUUUGGGAAACCUACAGGUUUUUUGAGCAUAGAGGACAGUCGUAGGGUGCUUGAUUUUGCUUGUGACUUGGUUAAACAACAUGCACCAGCCAUGGUUAUGCAGGCUGCUCUACAGCUUUGUGCACGUUUGACAAAAACACAUGCUCUUGCCAUUCAGUUUCUUGAAAAUGGAGGAAUGGCUUCUCUUUUUGAUCUCCCAAGAUCUUGUUACUUCCCCGGAUAUGACACCUUGGCAUCUGCCAUUGUUAGACAUCUUCUUGAAGAUCCUCAGACCCUGCAAACAGCCAUGGAGAUGGAGAUACGGCAGACCCUUAGUGGAAGUCGUCAUGCUGGUCGUACUUCUGUUAAAACAUUUUUAACAUCAAUGGCACCUGUGAUGUCUCGAGACCCUGGAGUCUUCGUGAAAGCUGCAGGUGCAGUUUGCCAGCUCGAAUCAUCUGGAGGGAGAUCUAUCAUUGUCUUAUCAAAAGAGAGAGACAAGGAGAGAGAGAAAGAUAAAGGUAAAACAUCUGUCGAGUUUGGAGCUUCUAACGAGUGUGUGCGAAUUUCUGAAAAUAAAGCCCAUGAUGGAUCAGGAAAGUGUUCUAAAGGCCACAAAAAGAUCCCUGCAAAUAUUUCUCAGGUAAUUGAUCAUCUUCUUGAAAUAGUAGCAGCAUUUCCUACACAGGGAUUGGGAGAAGAUUGUAUGGGAAACGCCUGUGCUAUGGAGGUUGAUGAGCCCAUAGUCAAAGUAAAGGGGAAAUCAAAGGUUGAUGAGGUGCGGGAGGUUCAGUCUGACAAUGUAUCAGAGAAAUCAGCAGGGCUUGCUAAAGUUACUUUUGUACUCAAAUUAUUGAGUGACAUUCUUAUGAUGUAUGUACAUGCUCUUGGGGUUAUCCUGAGAAGGGAUCUGGAGAUGUGUCAACUUCGGGGAUCCCAUCAGCCGGAGAAUACUGGUCAUGGUGGUAUUAUCCAUCAUGUUUUGCAACGGCUUCUUCCCCUUUCAAUCGAUAAAUCUGCAGGCCCUGAUGAAUGGAGAGAUAAGCUGUCUGAAAAAGCUUCAUGGUUUCUGGUAGUUUUGUCUGGCAGAUCUAGUGAAGGUCGUAGGAGGGUUAUUAAUGAACUUGUGAAAGCCUUGUCUUCAUUUGUAAAGUCUGAAAGCAACUCCGCUUGUAGCAGCUUAUUGCCAGAUAAAAAGGUCCGUGCUUUUGUUGAUCUGGCAUACUCCAUCUUGUCCAAGAACUCAUCCUCAGGCGACCUACCCGGUUCUGGUUGUUCUCCAGACAUAGCCAAAAGCAUGAUAGAUGGAGGAUUGGUCCAGUGCUUAUCUGGUGUCCUUCAAGCAAUUGAUUUGGAUCACCCUGAUGCUCCGAAAGUUGUGAAUCUGAUUCUUAAAACACUGGAAAGCCUAACAAGGGCUGCCAAUGCUAGUGAGCAACUUUUUAAAACUGAUUCUGUGAACAAGAAAAAGUCAACUGCCCUUAAUGGUAGGUCGGAUAAUCAGGUGAAUACAACAUCAGCCUUUCCAAAUAUUGAGGCCAGUGGAGAUGGAAACGGCCAGCAGGAGGUUCCUAAUUCAAAUGCAGGGCAACUGCCGGCUAGUGCUUCUCAGAAUCACAGCAAUGAGAAUGUGACUACAAACCCGUCCAUGGAGCAAGAAAUGAGAACUGAGCAAGAAGAAGCAAAUGCAGGUAAUCCUCCUCUCGAGCUUGGGUUGGAUUACAUGCGUGAUGAGAUGGAAGACAACGGUGUUUUGAACGACACAGAGCAAAUUGGCUUGGGUUUCCACGUUGAGAAUAGGGGACAUCAUGAAAUGGGUGAAGAAGAUGAUGAUAUGGGAGAUGACGGCGAGGAUGACGAGGAUGAUGAUGAGGGUGAGGAUGAGGAUGAAGAUAUAGCUGAAGAUGGCACUGGCUUGAUGUCUCUGGCUGAUACAGAUGGGGAAGAGCAUGAUGAUGCUGGCCUGGGAGGUGAAUACAAUGAUGACAUGGUUGAUGAAGAGGAUGAUGAGUUUCAUGAAAAUCGAGUUAUUGAGGUUAGGUGGAGGGAAGCCUUGGACGGCCUUGACCAUUUACAAGUUUUAGGGCAACCUGGAACAGGUGGUGGCCUUAUUAAUGUUGGAGGUGAGACAAUUGAAGGGUGGAAUGUUGACGACCUCUUUGGUCUUCGCAGGACCUUUGGCUUUGAGCGCCGCCGCCAAACAACUAGGAAUUCCUUGGAACAAUCUGUUACUGAAGUUACUGGUCUGCAACAUCCUCUUCUCUCGAGGCCAUCACAGUCUGGUGACUCUGCUCCUGUCUGGUCAUCUCUUGGGAACUCGUCCAGAGAUUCAGAAGCCUUAUUUGCUGGUAGACUGGAUGUAGCUCGUUUUUACACUUUUGAUUCUCCAGUACUCCCGUUUGAUAGUGCGCCGUCUAGCCUUUUCAGUGACAGGCUCAGUGGUGCAGCACCCCCACCUUUGGCUGACUUUUCUGUUGGUUUGGAGUCUCUACAUGUUCCAGGUCGGAGGCCUGGUGAUGGUAGGUGGACUGAUGAUGGUCAACCCCAAGCGGGCGGUCAGUCUGUUGCUAUUGCACAGAUGGUUGAGGAGCAGUUCAUUUCUCAACUAAGCAGAAUUGCUCCAGCUACUAAUCCUGCUGUUGGAUUACUGGAGAGAGAGCAGGACAUACCUGUAGUUGGUGAGAAUCAACAGCAGAUGGAGGGUGAUAGCACUGCUGGCCAACAAAAUGAUGAUCGCCAUAACAGUAGUGGGCAAGAAUCCAAUCAACCAGUUGAAGUUCAGUCUUGUGAAAGGGAACACAAUCCGGAGGUUGUCGCUGAUCAGGUAGGUGAAUUCCCGGAAGCUAUGGAAGCUAUUGAUCCGAUGGAAAAUGUACUCUUGGACAGGUCAAACAAUGGUCAUGGCAGCAUGGUGAUUGGAGAGGGAAAUGCAAAUCCAAGUGAUAACAUAGAGAGAACUGCAGAUUAUGCUGUAUCAUCUAUACAAGGCGAAGGCAACGCGAUGCAUGAUAGGACUGCUGAUGGGGAUGUAAACAUAUGCAAUAUGACCUCGACUGAUGUACGCAAUGACACAGCCACGUUAACAGACAGUCAUGCCACUGAUGAGCCACUAUUAAUUUCUGGGGAAGCAAUGCUGGAUUCCAGUGCUCAUCAUCUUUCUGUAGGUCAGGAGGAUACUGAUAUACAUAUGCACGGUGUAGAAACAGAAAGGGAGAGUGACCAACCAUUACCUAUUCUGCCUGAGGAACCAUCAGUGACUCAGAACCUUCAGGAAGUUCAAGACGCUAGUCAAACUGAUGAAACUAGCUUAAAUAAUGAAGCUUCUACUCCAAACGCUAUCGAUCCAACCUUUUUAGAGGCACUACCUGAAGAUCUUCGGGCAGAGGUUCUUGCAUCGCAGCAGGCUCAGGCUCAACCUCCAACUUAUACAGCACCGACAGCUGAAGAUAUCGAUCCAGAGUUUUUAGCUGCUCUCCCUCCAGAUAUUCAAGCAGAAGUUCUUGCCCAACAACGGGCUCAAAGAGUCGUACAGCAGACUGAAGGUCAGCCUGUGGAAAUGGAUAAUGCUUCAAUCAUAGCCACAUUUCCAGCUGAUCUGCGUGAAGAGGUUUUGUUAACGUCAUCAGAAGCUGUUUUGUCAGCAUUGCCAUCUCCAUUACUCGCUGAAGCGCAAAUGCUUCGGGACAGAGCUAUGAGUCAUUACCAAGCACGUAGCUUGUUUGGAGGCAGCCACAGGCUUCAUGGUCGUAGAAAUGGGCUGGGAUUUGACAGACAGACAGUUAUGGACAGGGGCGUGGGUGUCACAAUCGGCCGGAGGGCUUCAUCCUCUUUUUCAGAGAGUUUGAAGUUGAAGGAACUUGAAGGCGAGCCACUUUUAGAUGCUAAUGGCUUGAAAGCGUUGAUCCGCCUCUUGCGAUUAGCACAGCCUCUUGGGAAAGGUCUAUUGCAGAGACUCUUGUUGAAUUUGUGUGCGCAUAGCAGCACAAGAGCAGUUCUAGUCCACCUUCUUCUUGAAGCUAUCAAGCCCGAGACUGGAGGGGCAGUUGGUGGUUUAACAACCAUUAACUCACAGAGACUUUAUGGCUGUCAGUCGAAUAUUGUUUAUGGCCGAUCACAACUAUUUGAUGGACUUCCUCCAUUGGUAUUGCGUCGGAUUCUGGAGAUCUUAACUUACCUCGCCGACAGCCACUCUGCGGUUGCCAGUCUGCUUUUCUACUUUGAGCUCUCGCUUAUUCCAGAGUGGUCAGAUUUGAAGUGUUUGGAAACCAAGAGGGACAAAGGCAAGGAAAAAAUUGUUGGAGGAGAUUCCUCAAAUCCUUUUAGAAGCUCUAACAAGAGGGAUAUGCCAUUGGUUUUAUUUCUCAAGCUCUUGAACCAACCACUUUUUUUACGCAGCAUAGCACAUCUUGAACAGGUCAUGGGCCUCCUUCAAAUAGUUGUCCGUAAUGCAGUUUCCAAGAUGGAGUGUGAGUCUCAUUCUGAAGAAACAGUGGACCGUUCUAGUAAUGAAACAGUAGACCGUUCUCAUAAUGAAACAGUAGACGGUUCUCAUAAUCCUGUUGGCAAUGAAACUAUGAGUGAUAUACAGAAAGAUCCUGGAUUGCCAGACAUAAAGUCCCCUCAAGAUGAUAGCGGCACUGGUUCUGCCAACCCUGCAUCUGAUGCCAGUGGAAGCCCAAACAUUCGUGACAUCUUCUUGCAGCUGCCACAGUCUGACUUGCACAAUCUUUGCUGUCUUCUUGGUCAUGAAGGGCUUUCAGACAAAGUUUACAUGCUUGCGGGCGAGGUGUUGAAGAUGCUAGCCUCAGUUGCUGCUCCCCAUCGGAAGUUCUUCAUUUCAGAACUUUCAGAGUUGACUCAAAGGCUGAGCAAUUCAGCUGUCGAAGAGCUUAUCACACUUAAGAAUACACACAUGCUGGGAUUGAGUGCUGGAUCUAUGGCUGGAGCUGCAGUCCUUCGAGUACUACAAACACUUAGUUCACUAAGUACAGCUUGUGCUGAUGGCAAUACUGACACAUCUAUGGAGGAGGAGCAUGAUGAGCAUAACAUCAUGUGGAAGUUAAAUGUUGCACUAGAACCUUUAUGGGAAGAGCUGAGUGAAUGCAUAGGCGCCAUGGAGUUGGAGCUCACGCAGAGCACUUCUGCUUCAGUUAUGCCAAGUACUAAUACCGGGGAGCAUAUACAUGAAGCUGGUUCUUCAUCUGUAUCUUCUCCAUUGCCUCCUGGAACUCAGCGGCUGUUACCUUUUAUCGAGGCUUUCUUUGUUCUGUGUGAGAAGCUUCAAGCAAACAUCUCUAUUAUGCAGCAAGAUCAUAUCAAUGCAACUGCAAGAGAAGUGAAAGAAUUAGCCGGUACUUCACUCAAGUUGUCCUCCAAGUCUAUUGGGGAUUCACAUAAAAGGGUAGAUGGCGCUGUAACAUUUGUAAGAUUCGCGGAAAAGCAUCGGCGCUUGCUUAAUGCUUUUGUCAGGCAGAACCCUGGCUUACUGGAGAAAUCACUUUGUGUGAUGCUGAAAGCCCCGCGGCUCAUUGAUUUUGACAAUAAGAGAGCUUAUUUUCGCUCCAGAAUAAGGCAGCAGCAUGAACAUCACCUCUCAGGUCCUCUGCGAAUUAGUGUUCGGCGGGCUUAUGUGUUGGAGGAUUCUUAUAAUCAGUUGCGUAUGCGACCAAAAGAAGACCUGAAAGGACGGUUAAAUGUGCAUUUUCAAGGUGAAGAGGGUAUUGAUGCUGGUGGUUUGACAAGAGAGUGGUAUCAAUUGCUAUCAAGGGUCAUAUUUGACAAAGGAGCUUUGCUGUUUACGACCGUUGGGAAUAAUGCAACUUUCCAGCCUAACCCGAAUUCCGUUUAUCAAACUGAACAUCUCUCAUACUUCAAAUUUGUAGGCCGCGUGGUUGCCAAAGCACUAUUUGAUGGGCAGUUGCUGGAUGUUUAUUUUACCCGGUCAUUCUACAAACAUAUGCUUGGUGUAAAGGUCACAUAUCAUGAUAUAGAGGCUGUCGAUCCUGAUUACUAUAAGAACUUGAAGUGGAUGCUUGAGAAUGAUGUGAGUGAUAUACCAGAUUUGACUUUUAGCAUGGACGCGGAUGAGGAAAAACUCAUUCUUUAUGAGAAAACAGAGGUUACUGAUUAUGAGCUUAAACCUGGAGGAAGAAAUAUAAGGGUCACAGAAGAGACAAAGCACGAGUAUGUUGAUCUCGUUGCUGACCAUAUUCUGACAAAUGCUAUUCGCCCUCAAAUAACUGCGUUCCUUGAAGGUUUCAAUGAAUUGGUACCAGGCGAACUUAUCUCCAUUUUCAAUGAUAAAGAGCUUGAACUUUUGAUAAGUGGUCUUCCAGAAAUUGAUAUGGAAGAUCUGAAGGCCAACACUGAAUAUACUGGAUAUACAGCAGCAUCUACUGCUGUUCAGUGGUUUUGGGAGGUUGUUAAAGGCUUUAGCAAGGAAGACAUGGCAAGAUUUCUGCAAUUUGUGACCGGCACAUCCAAGGUUCCUUUGGAGGGUUUCAAGGCAUUGCAAGGGAUUUCUGGCCCUCAGAGAUUUCAGAUUCACAAAGCUUAUGGAGCUCCUGAGAGGCUUCCAUCUGCACAUACCUGCUUCAACCAACUUGACCUUCCGGAGUAUACUUCCAAGGAACAGCUUCAAGAACGUUUGCUUUUGGCUAUCCAUGAGGCUAGUGAAGGAUUUGGUUUUGGUUGAGACAAGCUUCCCUUAUGCAGCUUUCCUGAAAAUUGCAUAUAUUUGAUCGCCCUGUGCUUGGCAUGUAAAUGUUGGUAACUGAAACCAUUCACUUGUUCACUGCCUUGUCUAGUGAUGAGAAUUCUGUGCUUUGAUCUGUCGAAAUUUGUUUCCUUCACCUUCUUCAGAUGAGUUUGUUAGAAAGGUUCUUGGAGUACCAUUAGUUCUGUCUAUUUGUUGAGUGCUUAAAGCUUGCUAUUUGAUGGCAUAUAUGAUUUGCACUUUUGUGGUGUCUCUGCGGUUUCCUCUAGAUGUCCUAUGCAAAGAAAAAUGAAGAUGACCCUCAGCUUGCUUAUCACUUUCUCCCGUGCAGACUGGAUGAUCGACAUCAACUGCACAACAUAGAUUGGGGAGUUAUUGCUUACAGAUUUGAGUCAAUACACAGCAUGCCUCAAGGAUGACGGGGUAAUGGCCACACCACUUUGGUCAUGUACAUGGCAGUUUAGUAUCUUGAGGUAGUGAGUUAUGCAUUACGAGUGGUAGUCUUCUUGCAGUGUGGCGAGGAGCUCUGUUAUUUUGUUGUUCCUUCCAUUGCAACAGAUUUAGAGCACACUCCUACGGCCUUAAUAUCCCCGUGUAGAUUAGUCAUUUUCUUUUUGGUAGGGGGUUUAGUGUAGGAGGUCUACAUUUAUUUUGGGUAAUGGGUAGGUUGGCUAAUUCUUUCAUGCUUUAGAAUUUAAUUUAUUACCUAUCGUUACCGAUUGGCAUCAGAUCAACUCUUAGAUCAGCUUAUAAUGCUAUACUGGAUCUGGUAUUUAUUUUGGAAAUGACGAACAUGGCCGCCCUUCAAAUUAUUUAAUCUUAUUUCUCAAUUUGAUUAGAAA